RNAcentral lists this ribosomal RNA (261 nucleotides) under uncultured Eubacteriales bacterium. RNAcentral describes it as "uncultured Clostridiales bacterium partial 16S ribosomal RNA". It matches the Rfam family "Bacterial small subunit ribosomal RNA", at positions 80 to 339 of the family's 1533-position model. The record is from RNAcentral. Lineage: Bacteria; Bacillati; Bacillota; Clostridia; Eubacteriales.
UAAGGCCGAUGGCGACCGGCGCACGGGUGAGUAACACGUAUCCAACCUGCCGUCUACUCUUGGACAGCCUUCUGAAAAGAAUGCUAAUACCGCAUAACAUCGUAGUAUCGCAUGGUACAGUGAUCAAAGGAGCAAUCCGCUGAAAGAUGGGCUCGCGUCCGAUUAGAUAGUUGGUGAGGUAACGGCUCACCAAGUCGACGAUCGGUAGCCGGACUGAGAGGUUGAACGGCCACAUUGGGACUGAGACACGGCCCAGACUCC